CCUACGGGAGGCAGCAGUAGGGAAUCUUCGGCAAUGGACGGAAGUCUGACCGAGCAACGCCGCGUGAGUGAAGACGGCUUUCGGAUCGUAAAGCUCUGUUGUAAGAGACGAACGGGUGUGAGAGUAGAAGGUUGACAGUUUGACGGUAUCUUAACAGAAAGGGACGGCUAACUACGUGCCAGCAGCCGCGGUAAUACGUAGGUCCCGAGCGUUGUCCGGAUUUAUUGGGCGUAAAGCGAGCGCAGGCGGUUAGAUAAGUCUGAAGUUAAAGGCUGUGGCUUAACCAUAGUACGCUUUGGAAACUGUUUAACUUGAGUGCAAGAGGGGAGAGUGGAAUUCCAUGUGUAGCGGUGAAAUGCGUAGAUAUAUGGGGGAACACCGGUGGCGAAAGAGGCUCUCUGGCUUGUAACUGACGCUGAGGCUCGAAAGCGUGGGGAGCAAACAGGAUUAGAUACCCGGGUAGUC
RNAcentral lists this ribosomal RNA (465 nucleotides) under uncultured Streptococcus sp. RNAcentral's name for it is "bacterial SSU rRNA". It matches the Rfam family "Bacterial small subunit ribosomal RNA", at positions 338 to 795 of the family's 1533-position model. The record is from RNAcentral. Lineage: Bacteria; Bacillati; Bacillota; Bacilli; Lactobacillales; Streptococcaceae.